RNAcentral lists this long non-coding RNA (737 nucleotides) under Salmo salar (Atlantic salmon). RNAcentral describes it as "lncRNA (ENSSSAG00000119520.1)". Lineage: Eukaryota; Metazoa; Chordata; Actinopteri; Salmoniformes; Salmonidae. The record is from RNAcentral.
GUCUUAUGAUGCGCAUGCACGUGACUUUGUUGUUUUUUUAUUUUUCUUCUGGGAUGAAUACCUAUUGCCCGGUUGUAAAAUUAUUGCAAUUUUACGUUAAAAAAUACCCUAAAGGAUUGAUUGUAAACAUCGUUUGAUGUGUUUCUACAAAUGGUAAUGGAACUUUGAACAUUUCGUCUAUGGAUUUGCGUCCACACCACAUGGCAUUGUAAAGUGUUCUGGAUGGGUCAACAAAACAGACGUAUUUGGACACAAAUGACGGACUUUGCAGAACAAAUGAACAUUUCUUGUGGAAGUGGGUGCCCAUCUGAAUGCAUUCCGCCGAAGAUCAGCAAAGAAGAUCCCACCACAAAUGGACCAAGCAGCGUGGUCAGGAGACAUGGACCUGGGAGGCAAGGGAUCCUGGACGUGGGAGGAGAUCCAGGUUGGAUGGCAUUGCCUCCCAUGGGAACAGGUGGAGGCAGCGAGAGCAGAGCGGCAAUGAGACGAGGAACUAGCACGCCAACGACGGAAGCACGAGAGGCAGCCCCCAAAUCUUUUUUUGGGGGGGGCACACGGGGAGAUUGGCAGAGUCAGUGUGGAGACCUGAGCCAACUCCCCGUGCUUACCGUGGGGAGCGAGUGACUGAGCAAGCACCGUGUUAUGCGGUGAUGUGCAGGGUGUCGCCAGUGCGCAUUCACAGCCCGGUGCGCUCUGUGCCAGCGCCCCACAUUUGCAGGGCUAGAGUUAGCAUUCAG